GAGAGGCUGAGCACAGUGUCACAAAGGCACAGAACAGCUGAGCUCAGAAGGGACCUCUGGAGAAUGUCUGCUCCAAAACCCAUGACCACAGAAACACCAAGGUCUCCAGGCAAGCAUUAAGACACCACCUGGUCCAUUUCCUUCACUUAGCCAUCAGGUAUUUGAAAAGAUCCCUCACAAAGAUAAAUCAAAUCAAAUCAAUCUCAACUUUCUCUCAAGCCUUUCUUCACUGAGAGACACUCCACUUCUUAUUCCUCUUUGAGGCCCCUGAGCCAAUGCUACUGUGACCUGUUGUGGCAGCAUUUUGACCAUGGAUGCAGUGAUUCCUUGUCUUCCCAGGGAAAGGUGAAUGUUUGGGAGAACAUUUUCAUGUCCCAGACUGCAGCUGACAGGAGCAACCAUCCACUCUGUUCUGCAGUCCACAGAAGGGGUGACAUGGUGACUACCUGUCACUGUUCAUCUGGUGUUCCUCAAAAUCCAGCUGUGAAAUCUCUUGUAAGAGAGGCUUAGAGAAAAGAUGUCUUGCCUGGAGACAGGAUUAAUGAGGCUGAGUCUUACUGGUGGCCACAGAACUGAUUCAGUUUGGAAAAUGUGAGGUUUUGUUUGUUACUGUGAUGGGACCGCAAAUAAAAUACAACUUUCCCAAGGAUGUGCCUGCAUAAUUCAGUAAUAUCCCCUUGAAGACCACAGUGCCCUUUAAAUUAAAAAAUCAGGAUUUUACAUGGACUAGAACAAUUACAUUUUUAAUUAGCACAACUCAAAACAAUUUGUUAAAGCAGAUGAAGAAAGAGAAGACACUGUCUCCUUGUUUCUCCUUUUGAUUUCAGUCAGCUCAGUGGUUUUCUGGGUUUCAACAAGUUCUAAAUGGCUGCUUUGCUCUCUCCAGCAGUCUCCCAGUCUUGACCUGUGGUUUUCCAGGUCCUUGCUAAGUUCUCUGCCUGUGUCUUUCUGUACCUGCCCUACCCUUCAGUCCUGAAGCCUCCUUGAGAGGAGGUUGAGACCAAUUGAGACCAAGACCAAUGAAGACUGAGACCAAUUAAGCCUUCUUGGGGAGACUAAUUAAGCCUGGAACAGCUUCCCAGGGCAAUGGUCACAGUAUCAAGCCAAACACAGCUCAAGAAAUGUUUGGACAAUGCUUUAUGGCACAGGAUGGGAUUCUUAGGGUGCCCUGUACAGGGCCAGGAUUUGGACUUGAUGAUCCUGAUGGGCCCUUUACAACUCCAAAUAUUUCUAUGUUUUUAUGACACUUAGUCCCAGAGGAAUGACUCCCUGUCCCUCUGCAGAUUUCCAUCUGUCCCAGUCACUUUCCAAAGGCAUGUGAUAUAUGACACGUGUUUAAAAAGUCAGAUAUCCUUUGCCAUAAUUGAUCAGCUGAAAAGGCUCUAUCUAUUCUGUUGAUGCAAGAGGGCAGAAUGAAGUUCCCCUGGCCAUCAAAAUUCUCCUUUCCCCACACUUAAAAGUUAAUCUCUACUUCAAUGCACUGUCCCUGAACCUUGAAGGACAUCCACUUCUUCAUUUCCCUCUAAAUUAGAGCUGGAUUUUAGUCUGAAGUUGCAUUUGAAUGAAGGGCAAAAUUCCUCCUGCUUUCAACAGAAAGAAAAUUUAUUUGCUUGAGUUGAAUUUUAGCCAGUCAAGAGUUCACACUUGUCUUGGUAAAUAGGAAAAGACAUCCCCAAGCUGGUGAGAGGGAUUCUGACCAAACUCCCUGCAGCUGCACAGGAGGGUGAAGUCUUCAGGGACACAAAGCCAGGACAUCUGUCUCCAACUCUGGAGUCUGCAGGGACAGAACUUGGGUGUGCCUUGACUUCAGUGGCACAACAUGCACAGAGCUCCCAUCAUCACAGCUGUCCUCUGCUACCACCAUGGGACCUCAAGGAGCAGUGACACCACUGCCAAGAAUGAAACUUUUAGAGCUCCCUAAAGGGUUCAGCUCAGCCUGGGCUGUGCCCACAGACUGGUCCUGAGCAGGUGACACCAGUGUCCCUGAGAAAGGGAGAAAACCCCAAAGAACAGGAAACACUGGCAAUCCACGUUCUGCACAAAACCCUCUGGAUUGUGUGGCUUCUAAAGCAGGAUAAUAAUGAGGGGCUGGGCUCGUUUGUGUGAUGAUUUUUAGCACUACAGUCAGCUGAAAUUUGGCCUCCUUGUACAUUCACACACUGUGUGAGACUGUGUCUGUCUGUGUGUGUGACAGGCACUGGCAGGCACAUCUCCUCCGGGACAUAUUUGUGGAAUAUCAGCUAUUUAGUGCCAUCUUGUUCACUCAGUGGGCAAGCCAGAAACAACUGUGGAACAAACCCAAAACAAGCCUUUCCUUUCCUGGAGGAUCUGGUGCCAAUGCAUCUCUUAUCUUGCCAGGCAUGAGCCAGGUGAAAUCACAACGUCCUGUGGAGACUGGUCCUUGCUCUCCAUUGGAUGUGUGGUAUCCCAAGUGAGGUUUCCAUGCUGCUCUGAUACUGCAUCCAAGGCAAGGAUUAUUGUUUUUCUGUAAAUUGUGGCUGGACUUUCACAAGAGGUCACUUCUGGUUUGAGACUGAACUGCUUCUGAGUACAUUGGACUGAAGGCAAAGGGAACUGAGAUUCAGCUGCUGGAGUGAAGAAUGGCAAUGAUGUGGGAGAGAAAAUAAUCCAUUUGGUGAAAACUGAAAUAAAUGAGACCACAGUGUGUUCAUUUCA
This is a long non-coding RNA of Passer domesticus (house sparrow), 2676 nucleotides long. RefSeq lists it as uncharacterized. NCBI's taxonomy places the organism in Eukaryota, Metazoa, Chordata, Aves, Passeriformes, Passeridae. The transcript is spliced from 2 exons. The record is from RefSeq and is a predicted model, not a curated record.